GCCAAUGACUUAAUCAAUCAAGCUUAUGUAAUGAAGCCUCCAUAAAACCCCCAGAGGAUGGGAUUCAGAGAACUUCCCGGUUGGUGAACAUGUGGAGAUGCUGGGAGAAUGGUGCGCAUGGACAGGGCAUGGAAGCUCUGCACCAUUUCCUCACACCUUGCUCUGCGCAUCUCUUCCAUCUGCCUGUUGCUGACUUAUAUCCUUUUACAAUAAACCAAUGAUCUAAUGAGAGAACCAAUGAUCAGAAGGUUACUCAGCAUCAUACGGUUAAUGAGAGCCUCUUGUCUUGGUGAAGACUGAUCCGUGGAAGCGAUUGCUGAGCCUGGCUCCUCGGCAUGAGAGCUCUGUUACGUAGACCAACCGAAUACUCGAGAAACACAGUCACGGCAGCAGAGGACAGGCAAUGAGCCAGGAAGACGUGUCUGUGACUAGACUGGAAGCUGCAAAUUCUUCCGUGGUUUUUAUGUUCUGACUUCUAGCCAGUCUUCUGUCGGUUACUCUGAAUUGAGUACUCAAUUGUACUUGAAUUUAUGCUCUUAACACUGGUUUUGUGGAUUGUCCCUAUAUAUUUGUAUAUUUAAAUUGAAGUAGUAGCUAAUGAGAUAUUCACAUUGCAACACAAUUCAGUCUGUACAAAAAGACAAACAUUGGAAAUCAAUCUCCCUUUUCUCCCUGACCUUUAGGUGAUUAAAGAAGACAGUUUGGUCAUAGAAGCAAACUUUAUUUAACACUUCAUGAAACGGGCGGUCUCUGUCCCCAGGGUCCAGAGAAAUGGCAUGGAAGACAGGAAGCUUUCACAGGAAAGAAUAAAGAACAUGGAAGCGAGCACAGGGCCUGGGGUUGGCUUGGUGUUUGAGGACUGACGACUGGACAUACUGCAUUUCUGGUCAAGCAGAUCAUUUACAGGGACAUGAAUAUUAUCAAAGUUCCGUUUUGCUGACGUGGUCCCCCGGAUGAGAGUGGCUCCAUCUUGGGCCUAGAAAUUUAUCUCAACACCUUAAUCCCCACUGUUUAGAGACCACCACUGUUGUCAGUUUCUUGUGUACUCUUCCAGAAACAUUCUAUGCAGCAUCCGUGCUUCAGUUUAUUAAUACUCAAAAUGGAGUGAGAAAAGUGCGUCUCAGCAGGCUCACGUGAGGAUUAUGUGCAUUAACACAUGGAACAUCGCUUACAGUGGUGCCAGGUACAUACCAUGAAUUUCAUGAUUUUUUAAAAUUAUUAUGCAUAUAUUAGAAUGAAGAUUGUAUAUCAAGGCUGUCCAAAUAGAAAUAUAAUGUAAGCCACACAUGUACUAUUAAAUUUAUUAGUAGCCACUUUAAAAAAAUAAAAAGACACAGGUGAAAAAGUUUUAGUAAUAUAUUUUAUUUACCUCACUACAUCCCAAAUAAUAUCAUUUCAAUGUGUAAUCAAUGUAAAUAUAUUUUAAUGUGAUAUUUUAUAGUCUUUUUUAGUAUUAAUUCUUUGAAAUUCUGUGUGCAUUUCAUGCUUACAGAAACCUCAACUGGCACUAGCCCCAGUUCAACUGCCCACUGGCUACAUGUGGCUAGCAGCUACAGUAGUGGACAGAGCAGGUCUACAUAUCAAUCUGUAAACUUGUCAUUGUUUUUUACUCUAUUCAAAUAAUACCAUUCCUUGUUCACCUGGGUAUCAUAAAAUAUUAAUAUUUUGGAUGAAUUUGGAGAGAAACAAAUUAUACCUAAAAUUACGUCAUUUUAGAAUUUCAAAUGCCUACUACAAAAAUUGGAUUCUAAAAUGCUUAAUAUGAUGUAAAGAACAAGGGCUUCUCAUUGUUCUUAGGGAAAAGACUCAAUUCCUCACUGUGGCCCACUGCAGGGACUGCCUGCCUUGCCUGCCCCCUGCUGGUUCUGCUCCAGCCGUGCUCAGGGGUGCUGUGGGGUUCUUCCCAUGGGUUCUUUCCAGUGAGCCUUCUCUCUCUGCCGGGGCACUUCCUUCCUCUGACCUUCAACGUGCACGCAUACUCCCCCCUUGCCUAGUAUGUAAUGUAUGAAUCACUCUAAAGGAAAAUAUAUGUAUCUUGAUUUAAAUUAUUUUAUUUUAAUAUAAAAUAGUACAAACAUAAAAUUGUAACUCCUUAUGUUGACAGUUCAUAUGCAACGUCACAUCCAAAAUAAAAACUGUAACUAAAAAGAAUGAAAUUAUGUAAUUACUAAAAACGUAUAGAAGUGUUUAUUGUAAAAAAAAAAAAAAUUCUCCUUCCCACCCAUUGUCUCAGCCUUGAAGUUUCCUUUCCCAAAGAAUGAUAUAUCUAGAUAUCUACACCUAUACCUAUACCUAUCUAUACCUAUAUCAUCUCCAGAUAUAUAUAGGUUAUUUAGACUUUGUUUAUUUUUACACAGAUUUGCUGCAUUCUUUUCCAAAUAACAAUUCACAUUAUUGAUUUAGUGGGAUAGACGAUGUUUUGUUGAAUUCACAAUUGCCCAGGUUCUUUUGAGUUCAGCAUGACCGGUCCACAGGUGCUCUGUGAUGACACUUCACCCAUCACUCCCCUCUAUGUGAACUACCGGGAAAACCUUCAUUCUUGCAGCGUCAUGGUGGACAUUUGAUCUCCGCUUGGCAGGAAUGCAGAUAGACACAUUAAGUCAGUCUCUGUUCUUUUCACAUUAGCCCGAGACAAUUAGAGUCACACUACUUGUGGCCAACUCAAUCAAAAACACACAUGUUCAACUCGGGCUUUUAAAGCUUUGGGCAGACAUCAGCUGUUAAAAAAGAACGAUCAAAAAAACGUUUCUGGGGCCGCCCCGUGGCUUAGCGGUUAAGUGCGCGCGCUCUGCUGCUGGGGGCCCCGGUUCGGAUCCCGGGUGCGCACCGACGCACCGCUCCUCCGGCCAUGCUGAGGCCGCGUCCCACAUACGGCAACUAGAAGGAUGUGCAGCUAUGACAGACAAUUAUCUACUGGGGCUUUGGGGGAAAAAUAAAUAAAUAAAAUCUUUAAAAAAAAAAAAG
This is a long non-coding RNA of Diceros bicornis minor, 2964 nucleotides long. RefSeq lists it as uncharacterized. The transcript has 3 exons. The record is from RefSeq and is a predicted model, not a curated record. NCBI's taxonomy places the organism in Eukaryota, Metazoa, Chordata, Mammalia, Perissodactyla, Rhinocerotidae.